Molecule: ribosomal RNA, 439 nt
Filed under: uncultured bacterium
Lineage: Bacteria
Description: partial 16S ribosomal RNA
Rfam family: Bacterial small subunit ribosomal RNA
Source: RNAcentral
CUACGGGGCGCUGCAGUGAGGAAUAUUGCACAAUGAGGGGAACCCUGAUGCAGCAACGCCGCGUGGAGGAUGACGCAUUUCGGUGUGUAAACUCCUUUCAUAUGUCAAGAAAAUGACGGUAGCAUAUGAAUAAGCACCGGCUAACUCCGUGCCAGCAGCCGCGGUAAUACGGAGGGUGCAAGCGUUACUCGGAAUCACUGGGCGUAAAGGACGCGUAGGCGGGUUGGAAAGUCAGGUGUGAAAUCCUACAGCUUAACUGUAGAACUGCACUUGAAACUUCUAAUCUAGAGUAUGGGAGGGGGGGAUGGAAUUAGUGGUGUAGGGGUAAAAUCCGUAGAUAUCACUAGGAAUACCUAAAGCGAAGGCGAUCUCCUGGAACAUUACUGACGCUAAGGCGUGAAAGCGUGGGGAGCAAACAGGAUUAGAUACCCCAGUAGUC